Long non-coding RNA from Lontra canadensis (Northern American river otter), 435 nucleotides. RefSeq lists it as uncharacterized. The transcript is spliced from 2 exons. Lineage: Eukaryota; Metazoa; Chordata; Mammalia; Carnivora; Mustelidae. The record is from RefSeq and is a predicted model, not a curated record.
CUUUAAAAAAAAUUAAAAAUGCAAUAUCUACAAAGUGCAAUAAAGCAAGGUGUGUCUGUAUAAAAAUGUAUUUGAGAUAGAUUAUAGAUCUAAACAUAAAACUAAACCCAUUAAGCUUCUGGGAAAAAACGAGAGAAUAUACUCAGGAUCUAGGAUAUUCAGAGUUUCUUAGGGCACUAAACAAUAACCACAAAAGAAAAAAAUUAAGUUAGUCUUCAUCCAAAUCAAAAACUUUUAUUCAUUCAGAGAUCCAUUAAGAAAAUGAAUAGUCAGACUACAGGAUGGGAGGAAAUAUUUUCAAGCAGAUAUCUGACAAAGAACUUGUAUCCAGAAUAGAUAACUCAACAACUUAAUAAUUUAAAGUUAAGAAGAAUUUAAUUCUUCCCUUCCAAGGAAUUCAUCUGAGUGAAAUAUUAAAAUAUGUCCUCUAAAAAA